UGGGGAAUUUUGGACAAUGGGCGAAAGCCUGAUCCAGCAAUGCCGCGUGUGUGAAGAAGGCCUUCGGGUUGUAAAGCACUUUUGUCCGGAAAGAAAUCCUUGGCUCUAAUACAGUCGGGGGAUGACGGUACCGGAAGAAUAAGCACCGGCUAACUACGUGCCAGCAGCCGCGGUAAUACGUAGGGUGCAAGCGUUAAUCGGAAUUACUGGGCGUAAAGCGUGCGCAGGCGGUUUGCUAAGACCGAUGUGAAAAUCCCCGGGCGUCAACCUGGGAACUGGCAUUGGUGACUGGCAGGCUAGAGUAUGGCAGAGGGGGGUGAGAAUUCCACGUGUAGCAGUGAAAAUGCGUAGAGAUGUGGAGGAAUACCGAUGGCGAAGGCAGCCCCGGCAAGUCACUGACGCUCAUGCACGAAAAGCGU
This 419-nucleotide ribosomal RNA is filed under the name uncultured bacterium. RNAcentral describes it as "partial 16S ribosomal RNA". It matches the Rfam family "Bacterial small subunit ribosomal RNA", at positions 355 to 762 of the family's 1533-position model. The record is from RNAcentral.